AUUGAACGCUGGCGGCAGGCCUAACACAUGCAAGUCGAACGAGUGGCGGACGGGUGAGUAAUGUCUGGGCAACUGCCUGAUGGAGGGGGCUAACUACUGGAAACGGUGGCUACUACCGCAUACCAUCGGAUGUGCCCAAGGGGGAUUAGCUAGUCGGUGGGGUAAAGGCUCACCUAGGCGACGAUCCCUAGCUGGUCUGAGAGGAUGACCAGCCACACUGGAACUUAGACACGGCCCAGACUCCUACGGGAGGCAGCAGUGGGGAAUAUGUGACAAUGGGCGAAAGCCUGACGCAGCCAUGCCGCGUGUAUGAAGAAGGCCUUCGGGUUGUAAAGUACUGUCAGCGGGGAGGCGGUACCCGCAGAAGAAGCACCGGCUAACUCCGUGCCAGCAGCCGCGGUAAUUC
RNAcentral lists this ribosomal RNA (406 nucleotides) under uncultured bacterium. RNAcentral describes it as "partial 16S ribosomal RNA". It matches the Rfam family "Bacterial small subunit ribosomal RNA", at positions 29 to 526 of the family's 1533-position model. The record is from RNAcentral.